RNAcentral lists this ribosomal RNA (253 nucleotides) under uncultured bacterium. Its description in RNAcentral is "partial 16S ribosomal RNA". It matches the Rfam family "Bacterial small subunit ribosomal RNA", at positions 524 to 776 of the family's 1533-position model. The record is from RNAcentral.
UACGGGGGGAGCAAGCGUUGUUCGGAUUUACUGGGCGUAAAGGGCACGUAGGCGGCGUAACAAGUCACUUGUGAAAUCUCCGGGCUUAACCCGGAGCGGCCAAGUGAUACUGUUGUGCUAGAGUGCGGAAGGGGCUACUGGAAUUCUCGGUGUAGCGGUGAAAUGCGUAGAUAUCGAGAGGAACACCAGUGGCGAAGGCGAGUCUCUAGACAACUCCUGACACUGAGGCACGAAAGCUAGGGGAGCAAACAGG